AUUGAACGCUGGCGGCAGGCCUAACACAUGCAAGUCGAACGAGUGGCGGACGGGUGAGUAAGUUCUGGGAAACUGCCUGAUGUAGGGGGAUAACUACUGGAAACGGUAGCUAAUACUGCAUAACAUCAGAUGUGCCCCGAUGGGAUUAGCUUGUUGGUGGGGUAACGGCUCACCAAGGCGACGAUCCCUAGCUGGUCUGAGAUGAUGACCAGCCACACUGGAACUGAGACACGGUCCAGACUCCUACGGGAGGCAGCAGUGGGGAAUCUUGCACAAUGGGCGAAAGCCUGAUGCAGCCAUGCCGCGUGUAUGAAGAAGGCUUUCGGGUUGUAAAGUACUUUCAGCGGGGAGGCGUUACCCGAAGAGGAAGCAACGGCUAACUCCGUGCCAGCAGCCGCGGUAAUAC
RNAcentral lists this ribosomal RNA (406 nucleotides) under uncultured bacterium. Its description in RNAcentral is "partial 16S ribosomal RNA". It matches the Rfam family "Bacterial small subunit ribosomal RNA", at positions 30 to 526 of the family's 1533-position model. The record is from RNAcentral.